Molecule: long non-coding RNA, 557 nt
Organism: Hipposideros armiger (great roundleaf bat)
Lineage: Eukaryota; Metazoa; Chordata; Mammalia; Chiroptera; Hipposideridae
Exons: 3
Source: RefSeq, a predicted model, not a curated record
UGCACAGUGAGGAGCACGGAUCGCUGGCUCCGGACACCCCGCAUCCUUCUGGGUCCCUGGGCGCCUGGAAGCCGGCAGGCUCAGAAUAUUCCAGGAACAUCCGGACGUGUCCACUAGGGUUCCAGCGGCUGAUGGCGGACUUUUGGAUCUGGAGACAGAAGCCUGGAGAGGACCCAGGUGGGGACUCAGCUUACAGAAUGUAGACUGCAUGAGCAUCCACUGCGUAAUUGUUCAGCUUCAGUGGGUUGACUGGUGUGCCCCUCUCCUCACAAGAUAUGUUCACCUGAGACCUGUGAAUGUGAGCCAAUUUGGAAAAAGGGUCUUUGAGAUGUAAUUAAAGUAGGGAUCUCAAGACGAGAUCAUUCUGGAUUAUCUGAACAGGGCCUACACCCAACGGCAAGUGUCUUUAUAAGAGAUGAAAGAGGAGAAGACACAAACACAGAGGAGGCCAUGUAAAGAUGGAAACGGAGAUUGGAAUGCACAGCUGGAGCCACCAGAAGCUGAAAGAGACAAGGAAGGAUCCUCUCCUAGAAACUUCGGAGGGAGCGUGGCCCUGC